GAUGAACGCUAGCGAUAGGCUUAACACAUGCAAGUCGAGGGGCAGCACAAGGUAGCUUGCUAUCUGGGUGGCGACCGGCGCACGGGUGCGUAACGCGUAUGCAACUUGCCCUAUACAGGAGGAUAACCCGUCGAAAGACGGACUAAUACUGCGUAUGCUCACAACUUGGCAUCAAGUGGUGAGGAAAGAAAUUCGGUAUAGGAUAGGCAUGCGUCCCAUUAGCUUGUUGGUGAGGUAACGGCUCACCAAGGCAACGAUGGGUAGGGGAACUGAGAGGUUUAUCCCCCACACUGGUACUGAGACACGGACCAGACUCCUACGGGAGGCAGCAGUGAGGAAUAUUGGUCAAUGGGCGCGAGCCUGAACCAGCCAAGUCGCGUGAAGGAUGACUGUCUUAUGGAGUGUAAACUUCUUUUAUACGGGAAUAACAAGAGUCACGUGUGACUCACUGCAUGUACCGUAUGAAUAAGCAUCGGCUAACUCCGUGC
RNAcentral lists this ribosomal RNA (488 nucleotides) under uncultured bacterium. Its description in RNAcentral is "partial 16S ribosomal RNA". It matches the Rfam family "Bacterial small subunit ribosomal RNA", at positions 28 to 508 of the family's 1533-position model. The record is from RNAcentral.